AUUGAACGCUGGCGGCAUGCCUUACACAUGCAAGUCGAACGGCAGCACGGGAGCAAUCCUGGUGGCGAGUGGCGAACGGGUGAGUAAAGUAUCGGAACGUGCCCAGUCGUGGGGGAUAACGUAGCGAAAGUUACGCUAAUACCGCAUACGAUCUAUGGAUGAAAGCGGGGGAUCGCAAGACCUCGCGAUUGGAGCGGCCGAUAUCAGAUUAGGUAGUUGGUGGGGUAAAGGCUCACCAAGCCGACGAUCUGUAGCUGGUCUGAGAGGACGACCAACCACACUGGGACUGAGACACGGCCCAGACUCCUACGGGAGGCAGCAGUGGGGAAUUUUGGACAAUGGGCGAAAGCCUGAUCCAGCCAUGCCGCGUGCAGGAUGAAGGCCUUCGGGUUGUAAACUGCUUUUGUACGGAACGAAAAGGUUUGGCCUAAUAAGCUGAGCUCAUGACGGUACCGUAAGAAUAAGCACCGGCUAACUACGUGCCAGCAGCCGCAGUAA
Molecule: ribosomal RNA, 498 nt
Filed under: uncultured bacterium
Lineage: Bacteria
Description: partial 16S ribosomal RNA
Rfam family: Bacterial small subunit ribosomal RNA
Source: RNAcentral